RNAcentral lists this ribosomal RNA (375 nucleotides) under uncultured bacterium. RNAcentral describes it as "bacterial SSU rRNA". It matches the Rfam family "Bacterial small subunit ribosomal RNA", at positions 527 to 898 of the family's 1533-position model. The record is from RNAcentral.
GUAGGGGGCGAGCGUUGUCCGGAUUCAUUGGGCGUAAAGAGCUCGUAGGCGGCUCAGUAAGUCGGGUGUGAAACCCUCAGGCUCAACCUGGGGACGCCACUCGAUACUGCUGUGGCUAGAGUCCAGUAGGGGAGUGUGGAAUUCCCGGUGUAGCGGUGAAAUGCGCAGAUAUCGGGAGGAACACCAGCGGCGAAGGCGGCACUCUGGGCUGGUACUGACGCUGAGGAGCGAAAGCGUGGGUAGCAAACAGGAUUAGAUACCCUGGUAGUCCACGCCGUAAACGUUGGGCACUAGGUGUGGGACCCCUCCAACGGGUUCCGUGCCGUAGCUAACGCAUUAAGUGCCCCGCCUGGGGAGUACGGCCGCAAGGCUAAA